AUUUCUCAAAAUCCUUUUUCUUUGGAAGGAUUUUGGACUUGGAGGAUCAAUGCUCACUUCUCACCUUUCUGAAAGUGAGCUCCUCUUAAAUAAAUUAGCAGGGUUUGCUUUGCUAAUCCUUGACGUGAUAAGGUGAUUCUACGUUUUGGAUUUGGCACUGUCCUUUUAGACACCUGCUUCCAACUGUCUUAUGGACAAUGAUGGGUGUUCCAGUCACUGCUUGCCUGGACCCACGAGAAAAA
Molecule: unclassified non-coding RNA, 242 nt
Filed under: uncultured Russula
Lineage: Eukaryota; Fungi; Basidiomycota; Agaricomycetes; Russulales; Russulaceae
Description: sequence contains ITS2
Source: RNAcentral